GAAACCAAAGUUAUGGGAUACAAAAAUAUUUCCAUGGGUACCCAUAAAGUUCUUCCGGCCAUUCUCUUUAUGUUCUUAGCUUUAGGCAUAUGCUAUGCUAAAAGAAACCUCCUUUCGCUUGAAGCACACACUUAUGGUGGAGUUGCAGGUGGAGGUGGCUCAGGUGGUGGUGGUGGUUCAGGAUAUGCAGUUGUAGGGGAACAUGGGGUUAAUGCUUAUGCAAGUGGUAUUGGUAGUGGAGAAGGUGGUGGUGCUGGAUAUGGUGGUGUUGGAGUUGGUGGAGGAGGUGGUGGAGGUAGUGGUGGUGGGGGUGGUGCUGCACAUGUUGGAGGAGCUAGUGGUUUUGGAUAUGGUGUUGGUGGUGGUGAAGGAGGUGGUGUAGGAUAUGGUGGUACCAUUGGACUUGGUGGUGGGGGUGGU
This 420-nucleotide unclassified non-coding RNA is filed under the name Hevea brasiliensis (rubber tree). The record is from RNAcentral. Lineage: Eukaryota; Viridiplantae; Streptophyta; Magnoliopsida; Malpighiales; Euphorbiaceae.